RNAcentral lists this ribosomal RNA (435 nucleotides) under uncultured bacterium. RNAcentral describes it as "bacterial SSU rRNA". It matches the Rfam family "Bacterial small subunit ribosomal RNA", at positions 27 to 507 of the family's 1533-position model. The record is from RNAcentral.
GAACGAACGCUGGCGGCAUGCCUAACACAUGCAAGUCGAACGAAGCCUUCGGGCUUAGUGGCGCACGGGUGCGUAACGCGUGGGAAUCUGCCCUUGGGUUCGGAAUAACAGUUAGAAAUGACUGCUAAUACCGAAUGAUGUCUUCGGACCAAAGAUUUAUCGCCCAAGGAUGAGCCCGCGUCGGAUUAGCUAGUUGGUGAGGUAAAAGGCUCACCAAGGCGACGAUCCGUAGCUGGUCUGAGAGGAUGAUCAGCCACACUGGGACUGAGACACGGCCCAGACUCCUACGGGAGGCAGCAGUGGGGAAUAUUGGACAAUGGGCGAAAGCCUGAUCCAGCAAUGCCGCGUGAGUGAUGAAGGCCUUAGGGUUGUAAAGCUCUUUUACCCGGGAUGAUAAUGACAGUACCGGGAGAAUAAGCCCCGGCUAACUUCGUG